UGAACGCUAGCUACAGGCUUGACACAUGCAAGUCGAGGGGCAUCAGGAAGAAAGCUUGCUUUCUUUGCUGGCGACCGGCGCACGGGUGAUUAACACGUAUCCAACCUGCCCUUUACUCGGGGAUAGCCUUUCGAAAGAAAGAUUAAUACCCGAUGGCAUAAUGAUUCCGCAUGGUUUCAUUAUUAAAGGAUUCCGGUAAAGGAUGGGGAUGCGUUCCAUUAGGUUGUUGGUGAGGUAACGGCUCACCAAGCCUUCGAUGGAUAGGGGUUCUGAGAGGAAGGUCCCCCACAUUGGAACUGAGACACGGUCCAAACUCCUACGGGAGGCAGCAGUGAGGAAUAUUGGUCAAUGGGCGCUAGCCUGAACCAGCCAAGUAGCGUGAAGGAUGAAGGCUCUAUGGGUCGUAAACUUCUUUUAUAUAAGAAUAAAGUGCAGUAUGUAUACUGUUUUGUAUGUAUUAUAUGAAUAAGGAUCGGCUAACUCCGUGCCAGCAGCCGCGGUAAUACGGAGGAUCCGAGCGUUAUCCGGAUUUAUUGGGUUUAAAGGGAGCGUAGGUGGACUGGUAAGUCAGUUGUGAAAGUUUGCGGCUCAACCGUAAAAUUGCAGUUGAUACUGUCAGUCUUGAGUACAGUAGAGGUGGGCGGAAUUCGUGGUGUAGCGGUGAAAUGCUUAGAUAUCACGAAGAACUCCGAUUGCGAAGGCAGCUCACUGGACUGCAACUGACACUGAUGCUCGAAAGUGUGGGUAUCAAACAGGAUUAGAUACCCUGGUAGUCCACACAGUAAACGAUGAAUACUCGCUGUUUGCGAUAUACAGUAAGCGGCCAAGCGAAAGCAUUAAGUAUUCCACCUGGGGAGUACGCCGGCAACGGUGAAACUCAAAGGAAUUGACGGGGGCCCGCACAAGCGGAGGAACAUGUGGUUUAAUUCGAUGAUACGCGAGGAACCUUACCCGGGCUUAAAUUGCAGUGGAAUGAUGUGGAAACAUGUCAGUGAGCAAUCACCGCUGUGAAGGUGCUGCAUGGUUGUCGUCAGCUCGUGCCGUGAGGUGUCGGCUUAAGUGCCAUAACGAGCGCAACCCUUAUCUUUAGUUACUAACAGGUCAUGCUGAGGACUCUAGAGAGACUGCCGUCGUAAGAUGUGAGGAAGGUGGGGAUGACGUCAAAUCAGCACGGCCCUUACGUCCGGGGCUACACACGUGUUACAAUGGGGGGUACAGAAGGCAGCUAGCGGGUGACCGUAUGCUAAUCCCAAAAGCCUCUCUCAGUUCGGAUCGAAGUCUGCAACCCGACUUCGUGAAGCUGGAUUCGCUAGUAAUCGCGCAUCAGCCACGGCGCGGUGAAUACGUUCCCGGGCCUUGUACACACCGCCCGUCAAGCCAUGGGAGCCGGGGGUACCUGAAGUACGUAACCGCAAGGAUCGUCCUAGGGUAAAACUGGUGACUGGGGCUAA
This 1451-nucleotide ribosomal RNA is filed under the name uncultured organism. RNAcentral's name for it is "SSU rRNA". It matches the Rfam family "Bacterial small subunit ribosomal RNA". The record is from RNAcentral.